This 501-nucleotide ribosomal RNA is filed under the name uncultured bacterium. RNAcentral's name for it is "partial 16S ribosomal RNA". It matches the Rfam family "Bacterial small subunit ribosomal RNA", at positions 30 to 523 of the family's 1533-position model. The record is from RNAcentral.
AUUGAACGCUGGCGGCAGGCUUAACACAUGUAAGUCGAGCGGAGAUGAGGUGCUUGCACCUUAUCUUAGCGGCGGACGGGUGAGUAAUGCUUAGGAAUCUGCCUAUUAGUGGGGGACAACAUUCCGAAAGGAAUGCUAAUACCGCAUACGUCCUACGGGAGAAAGCAGGGGAUCUUCGGACCUUGCGCUAAUAGAUGAGCAUAAGUCGGAUUAGCUAGUUGGUGGGGUAAAGGCCUACCAAGGCGACGAUCUGGAGCGGGUCUGGGAGGAUGAUCCGCCACACUGGGACUGAGAAACGGGCCAGACUCCUACGGGAGGCAGCAGUGGGGAAUAUUGGAAAACGGGGGGAACCCUGAUCCAGCCAUGCCGCGUGUGUGAAGAAGGCCUUAUGGUUGUAAAGCACUUUAAGCGAGGAGGAGGCUACUGAGACUAAUACUCUUGGAUAGUGGACGUUACUCGCAGAAUAAGCACCGGCUAACUCUGUGCCAGCAGCCGCCGUAA